Molecule: non-coding RNA, 22 nt
Filed under: Arabidopsis thaliana (thale cress)
Lineage: Eukaryota; Viridiplantae; Streptophyta; Magnoliopsida; Brassicales; Brassicaceae
Source: RNAcentral
UUAAACUCGGUGGAUAAAGUAU